This 368-nucleotide ribosomal RNA is filed under the name uncultured organism. Its description in RNAcentral is "bacterial SSU rRNA". It matches the Rfam family "Bacterial small subunit ribosomal RNA", at positions 526 to 896 of the family's 1533-position model. The record is from RNAcentral.
CGUAGGUGGCAAGCGUUGUCCGGAUUUAUUGGGUUUAAAGGGUGCGUAGGUGGCCCUGUAAGUCAGUGGUGAAAUAUCUCAGCUUAACUGAGAGGGAGCCAUUGAUACUGCAGGGCUUGAGUACAGAUGAGGUAGGCGGAAUUGACGGUGUAGCGGUGAAAUGCAUAGAUAUCGUCAAGAACACCGAUAGCGAAGGCAGCUUACCAAGCUGUAACUGACACUGAGGCACGAAGGUGUGGGGAUCAAACAGGAUUAGAUACCCUGGUAGUCCACACUGUAAACGUUGAUGACUCGAUGUUGGCGAUACACAGCCAGCGUCCAAGAGCAAUCGUUAAGUCAUCCACCUGGGGAGUACGCCGGCAACGGUG